AUUGAACGCUGGCGGCAUGCUUUACACAUGCAAGUCGAGCGGCAGCGCGGGGGGCAACCCUGGCGGCGAGCGGCGAACGGGUGAGGAAUACAUCGGAACGUACCCCGGAGUGGGGGAUAACGCCGCGAAAGCGGCGCUAAUACCGCAUAUGCUCUGAGGAGGAAAGUGGGGGACCGCAAGGCCUCACGCUCUGGGAGCGGCCGAUGUCCGAUUAGCUAGUUGGUGGGGUAAAGGCCCACCAAGGCGACGAUCGGUAGCUGGUCUGAGAGGAUGAUCAGCCACACUGGGACUGAGACACGGCCCAGACUCCUACGGGAGGCAGCAGUGGGGAAUUUUGGACAAUGGGGGGCAACCCUGAUCCAGCCAUGCCGCGUGCGGGAAGAAGGCCUUCGGUUGUAACCGCUUUAGUCGGUAGAAAGGACGAGAUCCUAAUAAGGUACUGUUCUUGUACGGUACCGGCGGAAGUAAGACACCGGCUAACUACGUG
RNAcentral lists this ribosomal RNA (487 nucleotides) under uncultured bacterium. RNAcentral's name for it is "bacterial SSU rRNA". It matches the Rfam family "Bacterial small subunit ribosomal RNA", at positions 29 to 507 of the family's 1533-position model. The record is from RNAcentral.